GAGUUCAUAUCAGCACUACUGCACUAGAUCCCAAUAAAACUCUGCAGUUAACCAUGCUUGGGCGAGGGUAGUACUAGGAUGGGUGACCCCCUAGGAAGUCCUUGUGUUGCACCUU
This is a non-coding RNA of Ilex paraguariensis (yerba mate), 115 nucleotides long. Lineage: Eukaryota; Viridiplantae; Streptophyta; Magnoliopsida; Aquifoliales; Aquifoliaceae. The record is from the annotation of a GenBank genome assembly.